Molecule: long non-coding RNA, 2196 nt
Organism: Taeniopygia guttata (zebra finch)
Lineage: Eukaryota; Metazoa; Chordata; Aves; Passeriformes; Estrildidae
Source: Ensembl
UUUUUUUUUUUUUUCAUUUUACAAGAGGGCUUUUACUUUUUGCCUUCCCCCCAUGUGUGUGUCUGUGUGUCUUCAUAAAGAGAAUGAGCUGGGCACGCAGAGAGAAUAAUUUCUAUUUCUUCAUAAAUCUCAAAAAUGAAUACUUAAAUUCAAGCAAAAAAUACAUUCUUACACCUUUAAUUUCCUCUCUAUGAAGUAUAAUGAAAAAGCCUGAUUAUUUUUAAUUCUUCCCUUUAAUAAUUCAGCAGUGGAGUGAUUUAAAGCUGGGGACGAUAAUUACCUUUUCACUUUCCUGGUAAAUGGAGUUUUAAUAGAAAUGGAAGCUCAAAUGCUGGAAUUAAUUCAAACAGGUCAGCAUCAGGUCAUCCAUAGCAUCUUCUGUAUAAAUCAUUUAUCUGAAAAAUGGCCUGCUUCUCAAUUUCCCAGGAAUCCCUACCCAGAGGCUACAUUUAAACAGAAGACUUGAUGUUUAUAUCUUGUAAAGCAUGAAGGGGGGAAAAAAAUGUGCAAUCCACAUCACCUUGGAAGGAGUUUUUUUUUGGUUUUUUUUUUUGUUAAUGCAAACGAAACUGCUGUUUGAAGGACAGGGAAGCAAGGCCUUGUCUAGAUUAGGGAAAUUCAGCUGUACUACAAUGAUGGUUGGCUGUGAAGCUUUCCCAGAUCCCAUUAUCUGAGCAGUUUGUGCUGCUCACUCGAUUUAUCUUCGUGCUACACCUGCUACAUCUGUUUUAGAGGUGAGGGAUGGAGGUGAGCAGUGUCAUCUCCAGCUGAGAGCAGACCCCUGAAAUAAGGAGUAGGCUCUAACUGCUGCCCUGUGAGCCAAGAAUGUCUGUCAGGGAGAGGGGAAAAUAAAGAAAAAUAUCUUUUCAGCCCCAUCCUUGGAGGUAAAACCAACCAAGGCAGGUUUAGCCAAAGCUGCUCCUGCCCUGGGGAGGGCGGUGACACCACAGGCCUGAUGUCCCAAGGAUUUUCCUGGCACAGGGAGAAGGAGAAAAGCUUCACUGAGAUCCCCACACAAGGUCCUGCUCUGAUGGAUUCAACCCCAAACUGCCCCUGUGGGGUCUGAAACUGCUGAAACACCCCCCCUGAGCAUUUUUGGGGCUGCUUCCAGCUGGGAUUGAUGUGCCUGGGCAGGGGGUGAGCCCUGCACCCUCCAGAAGUGGAAGCAGGCAAAGCAUCCUGGGGGGGGUUUAAAUUUUUCAUGAGAGCUAAACAUAAACUGCCUCUUCUCUAAUUAAGCACUGGGACAUGGAACUUUAAAGCACUCCAGCUCUGAUUCGCCACAAGUGUGUGGUAAUGAUUUCUUUUCAAAUGUCAAGCAGUUUUGUUUCUAUUUCCUUUCAUAAAUAAUUGGUGCUGAGCCGGUGGCAACACCAGCAUCCAGCUGGCAGCAGGAGCUCGUGAUGCACUCCUUGCAUCCAGCCAGGCAUGGGGCACUUCCAGCAGAUCCCAGGUGGGGAGAGAGCUUUUCCUGCUCCCAGUGCAGGGAAACCAUCACCAUUCCCUUGAGGUUUCUGAAUUUGUUGUAUCAGGUGUUUUGUUUUCGUUAACAUUAACCCAGAGCGUGCUCGUGGCAGGGAAAGGUGGCUGCAAGGGUGGAGGGUGGCAAAAGAAAUGUGAUUUUCUGCAGGAAUAAGGGGGGAAUUUAAUGCCUGAGGGCCAAGAGAAUCCUGGCUGGGAUUAAACUAAAAAUUUACACUAAAAAAAGUGCAUGGGCAGCUGUGGCCAGGGAUGCAGGUGAGCCCUCUCCUUCCUGCUCAGCACAGCACAGCCUGGAGCCAUCCCUGCGUGUUUUCUCUGCCCCACACCAAUAUUUCUCUAUCCAUUACUGUUUACAGCCUGGGGAACUCAAAGAUUGCAUUGCUGGGCUCCCCAGCAAUGUAAAAUACAAACACAGCUUCCAGCAGUGACCCAGCUGUCAUCCAUUCAGGGGGAUCAAACUCAUGGUUUUUUUUGGGGGUGCUGCUUAAAAUGCUGCAGGGGUGCUGUACGUCAUGAAAAUGUUUGUGGCAGGUCCAUAUUUGCUGUCAGGUGCCCUAAUGAGAAGUUAAAUGUUAUCCUUUUUGCUUUCCCUCCUUUCUGCUGUAUUGGCAGUGCUCUAGGUGGGUGCAGUCCAAAAAAAAAGGUGUUUUAGAAAUGUAUAAACUCCGGGAAUCAGAUCUCCUGGAGAAAAGUGAACUGCUAAGGGACAUCACU